Molecule: ribosomal RNA, 435 nt
Filed under: uncultured bacterium
Lineage: Bacteria
Description: partial 16S ribosomal RNA
Rfam family: Bacterial small subunit ribosomal RNA
Source: RNAcentral
AGCGAACGCUGGCGGCAGGCCUAACACAUGCAAGUCGAACGGGCAUAUUCGGAUGUUAGUGGCAGACGGGUGAGUACCACGUGGGAAGGAACCCUUCGGUUCGGAAUAACUCAGGGAAACUUGAGUUAAUACCGGAUACGCUCUUUCGGGGAAAGGUUUACUGCCGCAGGAUCGGCCAGUGUCUGAUUAUCUUGUUGGUGGGGUAACGGCCUACCAAGGUGACUAUCACUAGCUGGUCUGAGAGGAUGAUCAGCCACACUGGGACUGAGACACGGCCCAGACUCCUACGGAAGGCAGCAGUGGGUAAUAUUGGACAAUGGGCGCAAGCCUGAUCCAGCCAUGCCGCGUAAGUGAUGUAGUCCUUAGGGAUGUAAUGCUCUUUUGUCCGUGACCAUAAUGACGGUACCGUAUGAAUAAGCCCCGGCUAACUUCGUG